UGCGAAUAAGUGUUUAGGUAGCACAUAAGGCUCAUGAUCUUAAGGAGAUUGUUCAAUUCAAUCAUUCGCAC
This 71-nucleotide transfer RNA is filed under the name Coemansia sp. RSA 522. RNAcentral's name for it is "tRNA-Met". It matches the Rfam family "tRNA". From Rfam's summary of the family: Transfer RNA (tRNA) molecules are approximately 80 nucleotides in length. Their secondary structure includes four short double-helical elements and three loops (D, anti-codon, and T loops). RNAcentral also lists the same sequence under 14 other names. Lineage: Eukaryota; Fungi; Kickxellomycota; Kickxellomycetes; Kickxellales; Kickxellaceae. The record is from RNAcentral.